UAGAGUUUGAUCCUGGCUCAGGACGAACGCUGGCGGCGUGCUUAACACAUGCAAGUCGAACGAUGAAGCCUUCGGGUGGAUUAGUGGCGAACGGGUGAGUAACACGUGGGCAAUCUGCCCUGCACUCUGGGACAAGCCCUGGAAACGGGGUCUAAUACCGGAUAAUACUGUGCCCCUCAUGGGGGACGGUUGAAAGCUCCGGCGGUGCAGGAUGAGCCCGCGGCCUAUCAGCUUGUUGGUGGGGUAAUGGCCUACCAAGGCGACGACGGGUAGCCGGCCUGAGAGGGCGACCGGCCACACUGGGACUGAGACACGGCCCAGACUCCUACGGGAGGCAGCAGUGGGGAAUAUUGCACAAUGGGCGAAAGCCUGAUGCAGCGACGCCGCGUGAGGGAUGACGGCCUUCGGGUUGUAAACCUCUUCAGCAGGAAGAAGCAAAG
This 440-nucleotide ribosomal RNA is filed under the name Streptomyces sp. 5BB1. RNAcentral describes it as "bacterial SSU rRNA". It matches the Rfam family "Bacterial small subunit ribosomal RNA", at positions 1 to 455 of the family's 1533-position model. Lineage: Bacteria; Bacillati; Actinomycetota; Actinomycetes; Kitasatosporales; Streptomycetaceae. The record is from RNAcentral.